This 208-nucleotide long non-coding RNA is filed under the name Helianthus annuus (common sunflower). RNAcentral describes it as "sRNA HanXRQr2_Chr16g0771711". Lineage: Eukaryota; Viridiplantae; Streptophyta; Magnoliopsida; Asterales; Asteraceae. The record is from RNAcentral.
UUUGUUUCCAAGUUAUAUCAAUUAUCACCCGUCGGUACUGUCAGACCUGACUUGUGGAAAUGUUACUCCUUAACCAGUAACCAAUUUUGUAUACAAAACCCCAACAUACCCACUAUAAUUGUAUUCUUUACAAAUACUCAAUAACUGGUUUGUAUGUAUUUAGUUAAGUGAGGUUUUGUAAAAACAGUUAACAAAAAGGAGAUUACUC